RNAcentral lists this ribosomal RNA (525 nucleotides) under Salmonella enterica subsp. enterica serovar Typhimurium. Its description in RNAcentral is "partial 23S ribosomal RNA". It matches the Rfam family "Bacterial large subunit ribosomal RNA", at positions 1168 to 1669 of the family's 2925-position model. The record is from RNAcentral. Lineage: Bacteria; Pseudomonadati; Pseudomonadota; Gammaproteobacteria; Enterobacterales; Enterobacteriaceae.
CGAUUCAGCGGGUUACGAUUGACGGAGCGAAGCGACGUCAAAGCGUAUACAAAGUCGAGUCGGUUUAAGGAUACGUUCGUUGGGUAGGGGAGCGUUCUGUAAGCCCGUGAAGGUGGCCUGUGAGGGUUGCUGGAGGUAUCAGAAGUGCGAAUGCUGACAUAAGUAACGAUAAAGCGGGUGAAAAGCCCGCUCGCCGGAAGACCAAGGGUUCCUGUCCAACGUUAAUCGGGGCAGGGUGAGUCGACCCCUAAGGCGAGGCCGAAAGGCGUAGUCGAUGGGAAACGGGUUAAUAUUCCCGUACUUGGUGUUACUGCGAAGGGGGGACGGAGAAGGCUAUGUUGGCCGGGCGACGGUUGUCCCGGUUUAAGCGUGUAGGUGUGUGUUCCAGGUAAAUCCGGUUCACUUUAACACUGAGGCGUGAUGACGAGGCACUACGGUGCUGAAGCAACAAAUGCCCUGCUUCCAGGAAAAGCCUCUAAGCAUCAGGUAACAUCAAAUCGUACCCCAAACCGACACAGGUGGUCA